GUUGAAUAUGUGAAUCAAAGAGGUGGCUUAAUUAAUCUACUCUCAUAAUGACAUUUGGCCUUUGGUGCCUCCCUAGUGUUAUCCAGAUGGUGGCAUUCAGAAACUAAAGUGCUUCCAAUUUAACAAAACAAAAAUAUUAUUCAAGUAAGGUCUCCCAUUUCCCUGACUGUAUUCUAUGAAAAUGAUUGAGUGGGAAGCAGGACUAUUCAAAUUUUAAGAGGGGGCUAGAUCAAGCUAGAUGUGGUGGUGCAUACCUGUAAUCCCAGUGGCUCAGGAAGCUGAGGUAGGAGGAUCACAAGUUCAAAGCCAGCCUCAGAAAUUUAGCAAGGCCCUAAGCAAUUCGGUGAGACUCUCUCUAAUAAUAUAGGAAAAAGGGCUGAGAUUUGUAGCUCAGAGAUAAAGCAGCUGUGGGUUCAAUCCCUGGUUCUCCCUUACAAAAAAGAGAGAAAAAAAAAAAGCCUAGGUCACUUUUUAGAGUUUUCUGGCUUUAAAAAAAAAAAAAAGAAAAAGAAAAAAUGAAAAGAAAAAUCCCCAAAAAUGUAGGUAUAUAUUUUUCCAGCUAACAGACUUUAUUUUUAAGAACAGUUUUAGAUUAACAGAAGAAUUGAGAAGAUGGUACAGAAAAUAACCCUGUACCCAUUUCUUGUAUUAUUACCAUCUUAAAUUAGUAUAGUGCAUUUGUAUUAAUGAAUCAACAUUGAUACAUUAUCAUUAAUAAGUUCAUCACUGAUUCAGUUCUAUUUAGGUUGACUUUAUGUCUGUUCCUAUUCUGUGAUCCCACCCAGGAUACUACGUUACAUGAAGCUGUCAUAUCUCCUUAGGUUAUUGUAGACUGUGACAGUUCCUCAGACUUUGUUUCUGAAGACCUUGAUGGUUUUGAGAAUUGCUGGUCAAGAGUAUUGUAGGGUCUCCCUUUACUAGACUUGUCUGAUGUUUUUUCUUACGAUUAUAUAAGGAUUAUGGGAAGACAACUACAUUAUAUCACAUAGAGGGUACAUAAAAUUAUUAUUGUUGAUGUUGACCUUGAUUGCCUGGCUGAGAUGGGAUUUGUCAGAAUUCUCCCUAUUAAGUUAUUCUCUCCUCAUUGUCUUUCCAUACUGUACUCUUUGGAAAGAAGGUAUUAGAUGCGGC
This 1131-nucleotide long non-coding RNA is filed under the name Marmota monax (woodchuck). The record is from RNAcentral. Lineage: Eukaryota; Metazoa; Chordata; Mammalia; Rodentia; Sciuridae.